AGACCCGAAACCCGGUGAUCUAGCCAUGGGCAGGUUGAAGGUUGGGUAACACUAACUGGAGGACCGAACCGACUAAUGUUGAAAAAUUAGCGGAUGACCUGUGGCUGGGGGUGAAAGGCCAAUCAAACCGGGAGAUAGCUGGUUCUCCCCGAAAGCUAUUUAGGUAGCGCCUCGUGAAUUCAUCUCCGGGGGUAGAGCACUGUUUCGGCUAGGGGGCCAUCCCGGCUUACCAACCCGAUGCAAACUGCGAAUACCGGAGAAUGUUAUCACGGGAGACACACGGCGGGUGCUAACGUCCGUCGUGAAGAGGGAAACAACCCAGACCGCCAGCUAAGGUCCCAAAGUCAUGGUUAAGUGGGAAACGAUGUGGGAAGGCCCAGACAGCCAGGAUGUUGGCUUAGAAGCAGCCAUCAUUUAAAGAAAGCGUAAUAGCUCACUGGUCGAGUCGGCCUGCGCGGAAGAUGUAACGGGGCUAAACCAUGCACCGAAGCUGCGGCAGCGACACUGUGUGUUGUUGGGUAGGGGAGCGUUCUGUAAGCCUGCGAAGGUGGCCUGUGAGGGUUGCUGGAGGUAUCAGAAGUGCGAAUGCUGACAUAAGUAACGAUAAAGCGGGUGAAAAGCCCGCUCGCCGGAAGACCAAGGGUUCCUGUCCAACGUUAAUCGGGGCAGGGUGAGUCGACCCCUAAGGCGAGGCCGAAAGGCGUAGUCGAUGGGAAACGGGUUAAUAUUCCCGUACUUGGUGUUACUGCGAAGGGGGGACGGAGAAGGCUAUGUUGGCCGGGCGACGGUUGUCCCGGUUUAAGCGUGUAGGUGUGUGUUCCAGGUAAAUC
RNAcentral lists this ribosomal RNA (830 nucleotides) under Salmonella enterica subsp. enterica serovar Durham. RNAcentral describes it as "partial 23S ribosomal RNA". It matches the Rfam family "Bacterial large subunit ribosomal RNA", at positions 711 to 1542 of the family's 2925-position model. Lineage: Bacteria; Pseudomonadati; Pseudomonadota; Gammaproteobacteria; Enterobacterales; Enterobacteriaceae. The record is from RNAcentral.